Parasteatoda tepidariorum (common house spider) is the source of this 3169-nucleotide non-coding RNA. Lineage: Eukaryota; Metazoa; Arthropoda; Arachnida; Araneae; Theridiidae. The record is from RefSeq and is a predicted model, not a curated record.
AUUUAAGCUAAAUUGAAUUCAAUUCUUAGGUAAAUAUUUGAAAUAAAUAAGUUUCUGUUAAUUUUGAAAGGUGUAUGCUGACUUUCGUGUAUCACUGUAUUGUGAGAUUUACAGUAUCAGUGUGUGGAAACAUGGGGAUAUAUACUCCCGAAACAUUUUCUGUCCUUCCUGCAUUUUCAUCAUCAUCAGCGACUACAGCAGCAGCCACCUGUUGUUGCUCAAGUAUCUCCUGUAACUCUAGACGUCUCUCUUCCUCUCGAGACAGGAGAUGCUCCAUCUCUUCAUUUUUUUGCUGGAGAUCGUAGUUCUCGAGAUGUGCAGCAUUCAGCCUUUCAACAAGAUGUUGAUUGUGAAGCUGAAUAGUAGUCAGCACAUCUUGCUGCCUCGCAAUUUCGUUCCCCAAUGUUGGCAUUUAUAUAUAUAUAAGAGUAUAUAAGCUGUAACGAUUUCGUUACUUGUUCAGGUUGAACUAAAACUCUUAUAAAAAACAAACAAAACUUUUGAUAAAGUUUUCUGAGUAAAUAUUGUAUGUACAAGGUUGUAUUACAAUUAUAUACACCGUUAUUUACAAUUAUCAUCAUUUCUACCGAACACAAAAUUAUGUAAUAAAAAGUUCUCAAAUGGAGACGGCACAAGGUCCGCUCAGGAUGCUUCGUCUCACCAGACUGCCUGUCGCCUCUGUUACAGAGUCCAGUCCUUCUCCUCUUUUUGCAGGUGCAUCGAGUUCUUAGAAUUUCGUGGGGAGACACCGGAUGCCAGAGGUACUCCAGACUAUUCGUUACCAUCGUGCAAUGAUUUUUGGUAUUUGCACCAACUUUGUGCAGACUACAUAGAUUUUAAAUCUCCAACAUUGCUACGUAUGGCUAUACCAUAAUAGUUUUGUAGCUUGUCGUCGAUAAAUUUUUCUGCGCCUAAUUCUUUUUUGCUUUUUUUUACAUUUCUCAGUGUGGUGUGAUCAUGGGAUCACCACAAUGUUUACUUUUCAUACUGGGCUGUCUCCAACAGGAGCGCCCUCUUCAUUGCCUUUUGCAGGAUCUCUAGGGCUCGACUCAUAGCUCGUCUUUAGAGAUUCUUGCAACCGCUAAGGAGGGGACGCUAUCUUUUGGAGAUAGACCAGUAUUCCCAGUGGAUCUCGAGUAAGUGGUUGCUUCUUUAGGAGCACGAUAAUUUUUGUUUUUUUCCCCCUGUGUGCUCUAGAGUUUAAUCUUUGAUUUUUACCGUUAUAAGUUUCUGCUACCUUAUCUUCUAAUUAUUUAUUUGAUGCAUCAUGUAAUUCUACAAGAAAACAAUUAUUAUUUCAAUGACUUAAAUUACUAUCUACUCCCUGGAGCACACAGGGAGGGCCCAGCUUCCACGUGUUGGAUUCAGUUUCUUGUGAAGUUGAUGAGCUGUAUACUGGAAAUGAACAUGUUCUUAAAACCAAAAUAAAAUGAAUAAAAUGAUGGGUGAAAUAUUAUCUACGAAAACCAGUGUUUUUCUUUUGAAAAAAAAAAGGUUGUACCAGUCAUCGGCGUGAUUUAGAAAGGUGAUAUACCACAUCUAUCACAAGCAGUUAGCGGAUGAUCUACACCUCAUGUCCCUUCCCCUUCAUUUACUUUUAUCACUCCAUCAUCCUACGCCAAUUUGAUUUGACCUGCCCAAACCGAUAGGACACCUGGGUAGUGUCAUGGGACCAGUAGCCGCGUUGUCGAUAGCUGUUCAAGGCUACAGGCUUUGGUUUCUUGCCCCCACACACCUCCGCCCCACGAUGCCAUACCGUCACGCAAUCUCCUUCAGUCCACCGAAUGACACGAUGAAGCGCCAUAUCCAUACUACAACACACCAGCGCCUUCCAAUGGUAAUGGAAAGUGGUGUGACAUUCGAAACAUCUACAUCCCUGAGCCGAAUUUUCAUAAUGAUCCAUCACUUCAGAGAUGGUUGCAGAAGACUUGACCCCAGAGAAUCGUAAUGCCGACUCCUUCGCCCCGAGAUACGCAUGCAUUCCAAGAUGUAAUUGACACCGCGCUGACAACUUCUGGAUCUUCUUCAUUCUCCCCCAAUCGAUGCAUCUGCUUUCGAGCAUGAAUGCGGCCACUCCCAGUAAUUGUCGUCCCAUCCACUCCCGCCUUACUCAUCAUCUUGAAUGCAUCGCUAUGCAACUUGUGAUCGGCAGCGAGGAACAUCGCAUCAACAUUCGUCAUGCAUUGCCCUGCUGGUACCCGUCGAUGUUGAACAAAUGCAGGCUGCUGACCCAGAUCAAUCAAGAAGUCAUGCGUGAUAUGCCUCUCGAGAAGGCCCUGCCACUUUCGCCCUGGACCUACCUCAUCGAAAACUGCCAAAUCACACAGCGGCGUAAUGAUUUCAGAUAUUACAUCGGCCAGCUUCCCCUUGUACCCACGCAAAUGAAUCCAGGGACGGGUUUCCUCAACCGCAUAGCCCCUAUGAUACCCCUCUUGAUAUCCCAGUUCAAUGGGCUCUUCCCAUGUGACGUCACACUCCCGGGGUGUAGGAAUAAACAUUCCAACACCAACACGUGUUUCUACAGUGUGAUAAUCAUAAUCUUCUGUUCUCUCUAUUUUUAAUUUCUUUAAUUGUACAAAUAACACUAUUUAUAAACUUAGUGAAACACCGUAAUAUGUUACAAAUUUUAAUUCAUUGACAAUUUUGAAUUAUAGAGCGAAAAUGAACGAAAGUAGACAGAAUUGCAACAGUGAUACUAUGUUUAUGAAUGAAAAUACUAAAGGUUUUAAGAAGUUUUUAGAAAAUUUUGUGAGUAACGUAGAAUUUGUUGACUUUGUGGGGGAUAAUAAGCAUUAAAAAAUUCAAUUUAAGCAUUUGAAAUUAAGAAAACAUUCAAAACAAAGGUUAGUUUACUGUUGUUUUCAACAAACACUAAAGACAAGUUUAACAGAUUUAAAAAUUUAUACGAUGCAUCUAUCCUUAUAGUCAUUGAUACAGCACAAUAUCACUAUAUAUAAUCAUUAAUAUUAAACAAUAUAAUUAAAAAUUUGCCUACCUUUAGUUAUUGGUAAAGAAAAAAUGUGUUAUAGUUAAGAGCAAAUCCCGACAAUUAAGGAUAAAAAAACAGAAAAGUAAAACGCGCAGAAAAAGCUUCGUUAAAAUAAAUUUAUACAGAAGAUUAAUUAUUUACAAGAUUUAGAUUAAAGCAUAGCAACAAUAAGAUAUUAAA